Molecule: ribosomal RNA, 1038 nt
Filed under: uncultured bacterium
Lineage: Bacteria
Description: bacterial SSU rRNA
Rfam family: Bacterial small subunit ribosomal RNA
Source: RNAcentral
CUCCUACGGGAGGCAGCAGUGGGGAAUAUUGCACAAUGGGGGAAACCCUGAUGCAGCAACGCCGCGUGAAGGAAGAAGUAUUUCGGUAUGUAAACUUCUAUCGACAGGGAAGAAACAAAUGACGGUACCUGAAUAAGAAGCACCGGCUAAAUACGUGCCAGCAGCCGCGGUAAUACGUAUGGUGCAAGCGUUAUCCGGAUUUACUGGGUGUAAAGGGUGAGUAGGCGGUCAUGCAAGUCAUAUGUGAAAUGUCAGGGCUUAACCUUGGCGCUGCAUAAGAAACUGUAUGACUAGAGUGCAGGAGAGGUAAGCGGAAUUCCUAGUGUAGCGGUGAAAUGCGUAGAUAUUAGGAAGAACACCGGUGGCGAAGGCGGCUUACUGGACUGUUACUGACGCUGAGUCACGAAAGCGUGGGGAGCAAACAGGAUUAGAUACCCUGGUAGUCCACGCCGUAAACGAUGAGUGCUAGGUGUUGGCCAGAGAUGGUCGGUGCCGCAGCAAACGCAAUAAGCACUCCACCUGGGGAGUACGACCGCAAGGUUGAAACUCAAAGGAAUUGACGGGGACCCGCACAAGCGGUGGAGCAUGUGGUUUAAUUCGAAGCAACGCGAAGAACCUUACCUAAACUUGACAUCGAUCUGACAAUCUGUGUAAAGCAGACUCUCUUCGGAGCAGAGAAGACAGGUGGUGCAUGGUUGUCGUCAGCUCGUGUCGUGAGAUGUUGGGUUAAGUCCCGCAACGAGCGCAACCCUUAUCGCUAGUAGCCAUCAUUCAGUUGGGCACUCUAGUGAGACUGCCGUGGAUAACACGGAGGAAGGUGGGGAUGACGUCAAAUCAUCAUGCCCCUUAUGACCAGGGCUACACACGUGCUACAAUGGCGUAAACAAAGAGAAGCGAAGUCGUGAGGCAGAGCGAAUCUCAAAAAUAACGUCUCAGUUCGGAUUGUAGUCUGCAACUCGACUACAUGAAGCUGGAAUCGCUAGUAAUCGCAGAUCAGAAUGCUGCGGUGAAUACGUUCCCGGGUCUUGUACACACCGC